UUUCAAGACUCCUUUAUCCAUUGUUAUUUACUCGACGAGGCAAGAGAUAAAGGGAAGCGGGCGAACGAAUGACGUGAGUGGGUUUCACUCCCCAGCCAGCCCGUUAAAAGGCCCGUGGAAUCGCGCUCGAAGGGCCCUACUUUGCGGCGCGGAGGAGCAUCGUGGUGGCGAUUUGUAGUCCGACGAUCGUUGAGCCGGCCUCCGAUUGGCUGGUUCGUACCUGCAAUGCGUCACUCGAGCUCGCAGCCGCCGCCGGGACGCGGUGCGGCUUCUGCCGUUGCUGGUCUGGCCGCGCUGUCCUGGCAACUGCGCCAGGCGGUAGAGUCGCUUUCCUUGCGCUUGGCUGGAGAACCUUCCUCCUCCACCCAUCCUUCUCUCCCACACUCACACACACACUUUCCCGCCCCUUGUGCAGGGGUAGGCGAAAACACCUUAGGCAGAUAAAGAAUGACGCUGAAAGACCCCGGGAAACCUGUACCCCGCGCUCAGCUUCUCGGCCUCGUGCAGGUCACACUUUUUUCAUUUUACUCCUUCACGAAACCAAUAAAAAUCUAGGUAUGUACCCAGAAGAACUGAAAGUAAGAUCUUGAAGAGCUAUUGGUAUGGCCAUAUUCAAGGCAGCGUUAUUCGCUAUAGCUAAAACUUGGAAGCAACACAAGAAUGGAUAAGCAAAAUGUGGUAUAUACAUACAAUGGAAUGUUAUUCAGCCUUGAAAAGGAAGAAAAUUCUACAACAUGCCACCACAUGAAUGAACCUUGAGGACAUUAUGCGCAGCCUCCGGAGCUCUUCCAAAUUGUCACCUAGGAUGAAUAUGACAGCAAACAAUGCUUUAAAAGAGCCAGCUCUGUGGUUCCCGGCUCUCCCCAGCCAAACUGUGCUUACGUUUCAUACGGUCACUGACCUUUCUUUCCUUGCUGCUCCAACAACUGCUAUCUUUGCAGCUCUUCUUCCAUCUGCUGCCUUGUUUUUUGUUCCAUGGCCAUUGUGGUUGAGUAUGUCCUUUGUCUGAGCUGGGACAGACAACUCCUGGCUGAGAAGCAUCCCGGAAGGCUCAGAGCCGUCCCUCUGUGCAGUAUGCAACCACUCAACACCAUCUGGGGGACCCACUAGCCAAGAUGCUCUGAGGUAGGGCACUCAGGGUUGCCAGUCUUAUCAGUGAAAUAUGGAAAGACAGAAAUAAAGAAGCAAUUUCAAGA
This is a long non-coding RNA of Panthera uncia (snow leopard), 1196 nucleotides long. RefSeq lists it as uncharacterized. The record is from RefSeq and is a predicted model, not a curated record. Lineage: Eukaryota; Metazoa; Chordata; Mammalia; Carnivora; Felidae. The transcript has 4 exons.